This 2983-nucleotide small RNA is filed under the name Pongo abelii (Sumatran orangutan). RNAcentral's name for it is "retained intron". Lineage: Eukaryota; Metazoa; Chordata; Mammalia; Primates; Hominidae. The record is from RNAcentral.
GGAACAGCUGGAUAAUGUCCACCCCGAGCCGAUUCAAGAAGGACAAAGAGAUCAUAGCCGAGUAUGAAAGUCAAGUCAAAGAAAUUCGAGCUCAACUGGUAGAACAACAAAAAUGCCUGGAGCAGCAAACAGAGAUGCGAGUUCAGCUUCUCCAGGACCUGCAAGAUUUCUUCCGAAAAAAAGCUGAAAUUGAGACGGAAUAUUCCCGGAAUCUAGAGAAGUUAGCAGAAAGGUUCAUGGCAAAAACAAGAAGCACUAAGGAUCAUCAACAAUACAAGAAAGACCAGAACCUGUUGUCUCCAGUGAACUGCUGGUAUUUGCUCCUGAACCAAGUAAGGAGAGAAAGCAAAGACCAUGCAACCUUGAGUGACAUCUAUCUGAACAAUGUGAUUAUGCGGUUCAUGCAGAUAAGUGAGGAUUCUACCAGGAUGUUUAAAAAGAGCAAAGAGAUUGCAUUCCAACUUCAUGAGGAUUUAAUGAAGGUUCUUAAUGAGCUUUAUACGGUGAUGAAAACAUACCAUAUGUAUCAUGCAGAGAGCAUCAGUGCAGAGAGCAAGCUGAAAGAGGCUGAAAAACAAGAGGAAAAGCAAAUUGGGAGAUCUGGUGAUCCGGUCUUCCAUAUUCGACUAGAGGAGAGACAUCAACGGCGAAGCUCUGUAAAGAAAAUUGAAAAAAUGAAAGAAAAAAGACAAGCAAAAUAUUCGGAAAAUAAGCUAAAAUCAAUUAAGGCACGGAACGAAUAUCUCCUAACACUUGAAGCCACCAAUGCCUCAGUUUUCAAGUACUAUAUUCAUGAUCUUUCUGAUUUAAUUGAUUGCUGUGAUCUUGGCUACCAUGCAAGUCUGAACAGAGCCCUAAGAACAUAUCUCUCUGCGGAGUACAACCUUGAAACCUCCAGACAUGAGGGCUUAGACAUUAUUGAGAAUGCAGUUGAUAAUUUAGAGCCCAGGAGCGAUAAGCAGAGAUUCAUGGAGAUGUACCCUGCUGCGUUCUGUCCACCAAUGAAGUUUGAGUUUCAGUCUCACAUGGGUGAUGAGGUGUGCCAGGUCAGUGCCCAGCAGCCAGUCCAGGCAGAGCUCAUGCUCAGGUACCAACAGUUGCAGUCCCGCCUUGCCACACUCAAAAUCGAGAAUGAAGAGGUUAAGAAAACGACUGAAGCCACCUUGCAGACGAUACAAGAUAUGGUCACCAUCGAGGACUAUGAUGUUUCUGAAUGCUUCCAGCACAGUCGUUCCACAGAAUCUGUGAAGUCCACUGUCUCUGAAACCUACCUGAGUAAACCCAGCAUCGCCAAGAGAAGAGCCAACCAGCAGGAAACUGAACAGUUCUACUUCAUGAAACUCAGAGAAUAUUUGGAAGGCAGUAAUCUCAUCACAAAACUUCAAGCCAAACAUGACUUGCUGCAGAGGACCCUGGGAGAAGGUGAGUUAUCCGAAAUGUAUGGGAAGAUGACCUGGAUGAUACGUCGUAUCAUGUAUAUAUUCCAGAAAGUGUAUGAAUUGUAUAUUUGUGCUUUAAGAAGCAAAGGACACUCUGUGUUUAGAUUUGGUUUCGUUUGUGUAUGUCAUGAUCAAGGUCUCCUGGCACGAUUUUCUUUUAAAGCAUGGUGCUAACCUUGAGGAAGCGUAGUGAAAUCUAGGGAGGGCUGGAAAGUCAAUACCGAGCUCCUAGGGAGGGAUCUUCAGAUCGUGGUGCUCCUGAUCGUAGAAAAGUCUGGAGACACUGCCCCUCCCCUACCUGCUGACCCCCCAGUCUCUUCUUCCUUCCCUUCUCAGACUUCUGCACCCUUCCAACCCCACCCCUGUUUGUUUUAAUGGGCGAGUAUUUGUUGUUCCAUCUGUUGCCUGUUUAGACUCUGGAAACCAGUUAAACCAGUUUGGGUGAUUUUUUUCUUCCAGUAGGCAUUGGCUGUAGUUGAGAAACAAUCUUACAGUAUAAGUAGAUUGCUAUGUCUAAUAAUAGUAACAAAAACAACAGCAACAGCUAACACUUGUAAGGCUUUCUCUGCGCCAGGCUUUGUUCUGAGUUGUAUAUUUUACUGUGCGCUAAUAAUUUCUCCAUUUUUACAAAUGAGGAAACUGAGGGGAGGCAUGGGAAUACAGGCAAAGGGGACUGUAUAAAUGUUAAUGUUUCUCUUUGUCUUUAUGAAAUUUAAAAGGAAAAAAAUAAAUACAAGCCAAGUUCCUGUCUUAAGUGCUUCAUAGUCUGUAACUUUAUCUUUUAUUCACACUAGACCCUGCCAGAAGUUAGAAAAAGUAAAAGAGAACGUGGAAGGGAGUGGGAAACGAGAGGACUGAGUUGUGUGAGUAACUCAGGUCAAAAAAGAGAUUGCCCCUCUUAGAGCUAAAUUCUUGCCUCCCACAAUUCUGGAACCUUCCUUAACCAUAAAGUUUCCAUCACCUUAUCUCCUGGUUUCCACCAAAGAACUCAUCAUCCUCAGGGAAUGACCACAUGGAGAAAGGUUAUCAUAACCUAAGAACCAUGUCUGACACAGUUAGGAUGAAAAGGCCAAUUACACCUAGAAGGAAAAAAAAAAAAAAGCAACACUUAAACUACUAAAGAGUGUCAUUAAAAAAUAAAAUAACCAAAUACAAUGUAUGAACCUUCACACACUAGAUUAAAUUAGAUACUGAAUCGAAAAGCAAAAGUUAUGAAAGACAUUUUAAGAACAAUUAGGGACGUUGAAGUACAGACUAUAUUAAAUAAUAUUAUUGAAUUAGUGUUAAUUUUCCUAGAUAUGAUAAUGGUAUUGUGAUUAUAAAGAAGAACAUUCUUAUUCUUAAGAAAUGCUUGCUAAAGUGUCAUGAUGUCUGCAACUUACCUUCAAAUGGUUCUAAAAAAAAAAAGAGGGAGAGAGAAAGAAGGUACAGUCAAUGUGGCAAACAUUAACAGCCGGAAAAUCUACAUGAAGGGGAUAAGGAUGCUUCCUGUACUUCUCUUUUAACUCUUCUGUAGGUUUGAACUUUAAAAAAAAAAAAAAAAA